RNAcentral lists this ribosomal RNA (254 nucleotides) under uncultured bacterium. Its description in RNAcentral is "partial 16S ribosomal RNA". It matches the Rfam family "Bacterial small subunit ribosomal RNA", at positions 524 to 776 of the family's 1533-position model. The record is from RNAcentral.
UACGUAGGGACCAAGCGUUGUCCGGAAUCAUUGGGCGUAAAGGGCGCGUAGGCGGCCACUGCAAGUCGGUUGUGAAAUCUCCGGGCUUAACCCGGAAAGGUCAAUCGAUACUGCAGGGCUAGAGUGCAGAAGGGGCAACUGGAAUUCUCGGUGUAGCGGUGAAAUGCGUAGAUAUCGAGAGGAACACCUGCGGCGAAGGCGGGUUGCUGGGCUGACACUGACGCUGAAGCGCGAAAGCUAGGGGAGCGAACGGG